This 644-nucleotide unclassified non-coding RNA is filed under the name Hevea brasiliensis (rubber tree). The record is from RNAcentral. Lineage: Eukaryota; Viridiplantae; Streptophyta; Magnoliopsida; Malpighiales; Euphorbiaceae.
AAUAUCAGUAAUAUAAGUAGAAGGUAUAUGCAACAAUCGGCAAUGCAACCCUGCGUAAAGGAUUCUCAUAACCUAUAUCUUCUUGUUGUCAUUGAUGCUGCUGUUGCUGCUGCAGACUGAUUAACUNNNNNNNNNNNNCUUUGUUCUCAAGAAGACUUGAAUGAGUCCCUUCCUCUAUUAUCUUCCCACCUUGUAUUACUGAUAUUUGAUCUGCAUUCUUUAUAGUUGAUAGCCUAUGCGCCACCAUGACUGUGGUGCGGUUCCUCAUCAAUCUGUCUAGAGCUUGUUGCACAACACGCUCUGACUCCACAUCUAGAGCACUAGUGGCUUCAUCUAAAAGCAGGAUUUCUGGGUUCGUUAGAACUGCUCGAGCAAUAGCCACCCUUUGUUUCUGGCCACCGGAUAGUUGCACCCCUCGCUCGCCUACUUUGGUUAAGUAGCCAUCAGGAAGGGAACUAAUGAAGUUAUGAGCAUUUGCAAGUUUAGCUGCUUCAACCACUUCUCCUUCAGACGCUCCUUCUUUCCCAUAUAAGAUGUUUUCGUAGAUUGAAGUGGCAAAAAGAGCCGGCUCUUGUUGAACUAAGCCAAUGUGUUUUCUGAGAGAUUUCAGCUUAAGUUUCUUGAUAUCAAUGCCAUCAAUCAUC